Molecule: unclassified non-coding RNA, 573 nt
Filed under: Aspergillus amstelodami
Lineage: Eukaryota; Fungi; Ascomycota; Eurotiomycetes; Eurotiales; Aspergillaceae
Description: sequence contains ITS1, 5.8S rRNA gene and ITS2
Source: RNAcentral
GAAAUUGUGCAUCCCUACCUGAUCCGAGGUCACCUAGGUUAAAAGAUUGGUUGCGAGGCUAGCUGCCAGCUGGACCUACGGGAGCGGGUGACAAAGCCCCAUACGCUCGAGGACCAGACAUGGUGCCGCCACUGCCUUUUGGGCCCGUCCCCGUUGCCAGGGACGGAAGCCCAACACACAAGCCGUGCUUGAGGGCAGCAAUGACGCUCGGACAGGCAUGCCCCCCGGAAUACCAGGGGGCGCAAUGUGCGUUCAAAGACUCGAUGAUUCACUGAAUUCUGCAAUUCACAUUAAUUAUCGCAUUUCGCUGCGUUCUUCAUCGAUGCCGGAACCAAGAGAUCCGUUGUUGAAAGUUUUAACGAUUGUUUAACUAAAAACUCAGACUGCAAACUUCAGACAGCGUUCAAAUGUUAGUCUCCGGCGGGCCGUGGCCACGCCGAAGCAACAGGGUACAGAUAGACACGGAUGGGAGGUGGGAUCCAAACAGGCAGGGAUCCGCGAUGAACCUUUCGAAAUUUUUACUUGGGAGAAAAGAGCCCCCCAGGGCCCCCCCACCUUAUAAUUUAUUCGAUA